This 1305-nucleotide long non-coding RNA is filed under the name Canis lupus familiaris (dog). Its description in RNAcentral is "lncRNA (ENSCAFG00030004384.1)". The record is from RNAcentral. Lineage: Eukaryota; Metazoa; Chordata; Mammalia; Carnivora; Canidae.
UUGCGGGAUGCCCACACGUGGCCUCAAAGUCACUUGUCCCCACCCUCCUCCUCGCGCUGCCCCCCGGGGGGGAGCCAUCGAGGGCCUGGGGACCCAGAUAUAACCUCCUUAGUUCCUUUUUUUCCGAGCGGGAGAGAGAGAUGGGGUUUUCCUGCUCCGGGCCUGGGGGAUGGGGUUGGAUGGAAAAGUCAGGAUUCUGCCCCAAGCCCGGGGGAAUGGGCGUGUCCACGAAUUUUAGGCCUCAGGCCUGCAGCCCGCGCCGCCCGCGGCUGGGGAGCGGAGGGUCGGGUCGCCGCGGGGCAGCCCCUGCGACGCUCCUGCGAGCGGCCGAGCCCCGGGCCGAGCGCCGCAGGCCCCGCCCCCUCAGCGCGCGGCCCCCUCCCCUGCUCGGGAGGCCCGGGGGCGGGGUUUGUUUACUCCGUGCACGCACCGCCGGCCUGGCCAAUCCGGGGGCAGCGGCGCCUUACGUCACUCGCGCCGAGAGCCAAUCGGGGCUCACCGUGCUGCUCCGCCGCCAAAGCUCGCGCGGGGGAAGCGGGGCCGUGGCCGGGUUGGGCGAGGGCGACCAGGCGGCGGGGAUCUGGGCUGCGGCCGCCGCCGCUUCUCGGCACGCGGGCGCGCUCCGAGCCUUCCUUUUUGGGCAGCCUCGCGGGCGCACGCACGGCCGGCGUCCCAGGGCCGCGGACUCGCGGGCCUCCGCCGGGCAGGCCGCGGAUCGCCCACCCCUUCCCCCAGGGUGAGUCCGUCGGGACGCGGGCGCCACCGGAGCGGAGGCGCCGAGCCGCGCCCCAGGCUCGGAAGAACAGCCCUGAGCGGCCGCCUCGUCCUCUGCAGCCGAGCGGCGGUAAGGUCCGGGGCGCGGGCGCGGGCGCGGGCCGCGUGCGGAGGGCCUCCGGCCCCGGCCCCUCGUGUUCCCGGGCAGCCCCCCCCCCCCCCAGGCCGUCUGUUUAUUCCCACGGCGCCCCCGGGCCGGGCCGAGUCCCCCCUGAGUGGGGGGGUGGGGUGGGGUGGGGUGGGGGGCGGGACCCGGAGAGCCCCUCCCCUUCCCCUCCCCCUCCCCCCGCGCCCCGGGAGGGGGCGGCGACCCCGCGUCACGCCUCGGGCGGCAGGCGAAGGGCUGCUGUCUCCUCUCGGGUCUCUUCAGGUCUUCAGGGCAGAACGAUGGCUUCUAAGUCUGGUUUUCCGACUUUUCCGCCGCCCAUGACUCACACGCCUCCAUCUGUCCCCGCCAGGUGUAUUUCGGAGCCACAAAGCUCCGUGCGCUUGCGAGAACCUCCCAUGUCGCCCAAGGGAACUUCCCUCUAG